UCUGACGGCCUCGCGCCGUCGGACAAACAUAUACCGCGAUACGGUUAGCCGGACGCUCCUUGCAUGGGUGCGGAGUGCGUGUUUUCCGUGCUUUCAUGGCUCGCCGUUACGCAUUUUAGAUAACACGCCGAGAAAGAAAUGUACGAGGUAUUUUUAUUUUAUGAACAGCAC
Molecule: non-coding RNA, 171 nt
Submitted as: unclassified sequences
Source: Rfam